This 282-nucleotide ribosomal RNA is filed under the name uncultured prokaryote. RNAcentral's name for it is "partial 16S ribosomal RNA". It matches the Rfam family "Bacterial small subunit ribosomal RNA", at positions 524 to 803 of the family's 1533-position model. The record is from RNAcentral.
UACGGAGGAUCCGAGCGUUAUCCGGAUUUAUUGGGUUUAAAGGGUGCGUAGGCGGGACCAUAAGUCAGCGGUGAAAGUUUUCGGCUCAACCGGAAAAUUGCCGUUGAAACUGUGGUUCUUGAGUGCAGAAGAGGUAGGCGGAAUUCGUUGUGUAGCGGUGAAAUGCGUAGAUAUAACGAAGAACACCAAUUGCGCAGGCAGCUUACCGUACUGCAACUGACGCUGAGGCACGAAAGUGUGGGUAUCAAACAGGAUUAGAUACCCCGGUAGUCCCUGAGCGGG